UACGUAGGUGGCAAGCGUUGUCCGGAUUUACUGGGCGUAAAGAGCGCGCAGGCGGUCGUUCAAGUCGCGUGUGAAAGCCCCCGGCUCAACUGGGGAGGGUCACGCGAUACUGAUCGACUCGAAGGCAGGAGAGGGUAGUGGAAUUCCUGGUGUAGCGGUGAAAUGCGCAGAUAUCAGGAAGAACACCAAUGGCGAAAGCAGCUUUCUGGGACGGUACUGACGCUGAGACGCGAAAGCGUGGGGAGCGAACAGG
This 253-nucleotide ribosomal RNA is filed under the name uncultured bacterium. Its description in RNAcentral is "partial 16S ribosomal RNA". It matches the Rfam family "Bacterial small subunit ribosomal RNA", at positions 524 to 776 of the family's 1533-position model. The record is from RNAcentral.